ACGAACGCUGGCGGCGCGCCUAACACAUGCAAGUCGCACGGAGCUGAGAGAAGCUUGCUUUUCUUAGCUUAGUGGCGAACGGGUGAGUAACGCGUGAGUAACCUGCCCUGGAGUGGGGGACAACAGUUGGAAACGACUGCUAAUACCGCAUAAGCCCACGAUCCGGCAUCGGAUUGAGGGAAAAGGAUUUAUUCGCUUCAGGAUGGACUCGCGUCCAAUUAGCUAGUUGGUGAGGUAACGGCCCACCAAGGCGACGAUUGGUAGCCGGACUGAGAGGUUGAACGGCCACAGUGGGACUGAGACACGGCCCAGACUCCUACGGGAGGCAGCAGUGGGGGAUAUUGCACAAUGGGGGAAACCCUGAUGCAGCGACGCCGCGUGGAGGAAGAAGGUUUUCGGAUUGUAAACUCCUGUCGUUAGGGACGAUAAUGACGGUACCUAACAAGAAAGCACCGGCUAACUACGUG
This 467-nucleotide ribosomal RNA is filed under the name uncultured bacterium. RNAcentral describes it as "partial 16S ribosomal RNA". It matches the Rfam family "Bacterial small subunit ribosomal RNA", at positions 29 to 507 of the family's 1533-position model. The record is from RNAcentral.